UACGUAGGGUGCGAGCGUUGUCCGGAAUUAUUGGGCGUAAAGAGCUCGUAGGCGGUCUGUCGCGUCGGUCGUGAAAACUUGGGGCUUAACCCUGAGCUUGCGGUCGAUACGGGCAUGACUGGAGUUCGGCAGGGGAGACUGGAAUUCCUGGUGUAGCGGUGAAAUGCGCAGAUAUCAGGAGGAACACCGGUGGCGAAGGCGGUUCUCUGGGCCGAUACUGACGCUGAGGAGCGAAAGCGUGGGGAGCGAACAGG
This 254-nucleotide ribosomal RNA is filed under the name uncultured bacterium. RNAcentral describes it as "partial 16S ribosomal RNA". It matches the Rfam family "Bacterial small subunit ribosomal RNA", at positions 524 to 776 of the family's 1533-position model. The record is from RNAcentral.